AUGUCAAAUGCUGCAAGAACCCACAUGACGCAAUCAUCUGGAAGGCGCUGCAACACUUUUGAUGCUCUCAGAUGGCCUGGAGAAAAUAUUUUUUCUAGCGUUUUUCGCAUCAGUCAAAGCCAGAUUCUAGUUGAGCCACAAAGUUUAUAUAUGGGGAUUAUGCAGCUUAACAAUAAAGAACUAAAGAGUGCUGCUGUUCUGCAAUAUGAAGUUGCUAGACACCUCGGGUGUAAGCAAUGGGUGAAUGAAUUUAGGCAAAACUGUCGGUGUGACCUGUCUGAUGAUUGGAUUGACAAAAAUCUACCUUCAUUAGACGGCAGAAAGCUGCAAACAUCAAAAAAGUCGGCAUCAGUGUAUGUUGCCGAAUCAUCGCGUGACAUACGUCUGAGGACCGAUCCGAACAUAAAUAUUGUUCGAGAAAAUGCAGCAGAGGACAGGAAAGAAGAAACACCAACAAAAUCCCCAGAUCCAGUCUCAUAUGCCCCAAAUACUAGUAAACAGGGAACUCACACCCUGUACAAGAAACCGAGAUCUGAGCCCUCAACCAGCUCAUUUAGGACCGUUAGUUAUAGAAAAUUUAUUCCUGAAAAGACGCCAAAACAUCUAUUUAGCACAGAAAAAAAAGUUACAACAGGCAAAACUCUACGAAAAGUUGAAUCUGGCAAAAGGUCAUUGUCAGUUACCAUUGACGUAGAUGAACCCUCACUGAAAUUAAAGUCCUCCCAACAAUCAGAAUAUUGUUUGCUUUCCAAUUGUUUUUCACUGGAUACUAAAGUGAGACGUCACUGUACCAAAAGGCACAUGCCUCCAAUGUUUCAAACUGUGUCGUCAGACUCGAGCAAUGUUUUUCAUUGUGUCCAAGCACUAAAAUGGCUGAUUAAAGCUGCAUUGGGAGAACAAGCUACUCUUCUUGAUGCAAUGGAAACAGUAAACCAGGCCAGUAAAAUACCUCCGACCAUUGCCCUCAAUCCGUUGCAUUCAGAUUAUUUUCGCCAGGCAUGUCAAUUCUUAGAGGUAGACGAGCCAAAACAGUUUACUCUGCACCCAAUAAACUCUCCAGCUGUAUUGCUGUUUUGGCGAUGCAUUAUGGUGCUAUUGGACAAAUGUACAGAAUUCCAACAAAAGGAGUUUGUCCGUUUUAAAGCAGACAAGGAAACUUCAACCAAAUCAAAUCCUCUCAUUCACUCAACUUCUCCUCAUAUAAAUCCAUCACUAGUUUUACAUGGUUCUGACGUAGAAUUGCCAUCAAAACUGGCAGAAUUUAAUAUGCCAGACGGUUCUAGUGGAAUGGAAGUAGCUGAACACAGCGAGUUACCAGUUGUAUUUGAUAGCCACUUCCAUUUGGACCGUACCUGUAAGAAGAUAUGGGGUGUUGAAGGGGGGCACACUGUAGAGGACCUUUUGAAACAUAGUGAAUCGGACAGUGUACCAUACAAACCAGCUAUUCCUGUUAAAGUAAUUGGAGGCAUCAUUGUCUACAGUGAGCCUAAUACCUAUCCAGAUGUAUCCUUUACUUUAAAUGGUCCUUGGAAAGUUGCUGUUGGAGUACAUCCAAAACAGCAUAGCACAUUCUCUGAAGAAAAAAUGAUGCUUCUUGAGCAAUUACUGCACCAUCCAAAAGUUGUUGCACUAGGAGAAUGUGGCUUAGAUAGGAGUGUCCCACCAUCUGAGUGGACGCAGCAGGAGGAUGUCUUUAUAAAACUUCUGAAACUUGCCAAGCCUUGCAUUCCAAUUGUGUUACAUCUCAGGGGGCCAGCUGGGGAUAAAUAUGGAUCUGAUGUAAUUGCAAGAUGUAUGAUGCUGAUGGAAGUGCACUGUAGAAAUGCGCAGCGGAUACAUCUUCAUUGCUUCCAAGGAAAGACAGAUGUUGUAAAGGCAUGGCUAAAGAAGUUUCCAAAUACUUGUUUUGGACUAACUGCAUCAGUUCGCACAUUUGAUAGUCAUCAGAUUGCAGGUUUAAAGGCCAUUCCGAGAACAAAUAUUGUGUUGGAAACAGAUGCUCCUUACUUUCCCUUUGGUACAGCAAAAGUUAGUACACCUGCAUAUAUAGGAGAGACUGCUAAACUUGUUGCACAACAUUUGAAUGUGAAACCCGAAGAACUGAUGGAGAUCACUCUACAGAAUGCCAAAUUUUUGUAUGGUAUAUGAAGUUUUCAAGCCAGAAAAAUGUCAAAAACUAUGAAUUAUUUAAAUGGGAGGUUUCAUGUUGAAGAAUUCAUCUUGGAGUCAGAUUUCAUUUUGGAGUCAGAUUUCAUCUUGGAGUCUGAAUUCAUCUUGGAAUUAGAUUUCAUUUUGGAGUCUGAAUUCACAUUGGAGUCUUUUACUAGAGUCUUCGUACUUUACAUUUUUUUUUACAUUGGAGCUGAAUUAUUUAUAUGGGAGUUUUUAUGUAGAAGAAUUCAUCUUGGAGUCAGAUUUCAUCUUGGAGUCAGAUUUCACAUUGGAGUCUUUUACUAGAGUCUAUAUACUUCAGAAGUUUUUUACAAUGGAGCUGUUACAAUAGUGCAUUUAAUCAUUUAUCUUAUCAGCAAGGUGGAGAGAUUUAUAAAAAAAAUAUUGACAGGUCAGACUGGAUUGCAGCCAUUUAUUUAUUUUUAUGAAAAUAAACAAAAAAAUUGACAAUUGUGUAAACAUUCCACAUUUGUCCAUUUCCUUUGGAAAAAAGAUUCCUAUUGAAAUAUUUCAUUAGUGGCAUUUUACAUUAAACUUUUCAUUCAGAUUAAGUCAUGAUUUCAUCUUGAGGUUCGAUUUUGCAUGUAAUUUUUUUCAUCAAAUUUCAUAUUGGAGCUACUUCAUAGAACAAUUCUUGUUGAACAAACCAAAGACUAAGUGCAGCCAUAUAAUGAAAACAAACUGUUGGCAGGUUCAUGUAUUGUUAGAAUUUUUCAACAAAUUUCUUAUGUCGUCUCUGACUGAGAAAUCCCAUUGAUUAUUCACGAGUGACCUUUUUACAUUGGAGAGUUCGUGUAGAAGAAUUCAUGUUGGAGUCAGAUUUCAUGUUGGAUUCAGAUUGUUCACAAGAGUUUUCAUCUUUCAUUAGAUUUCGAUUGGUUUGGAGUUGUUACAGUGGCGUUUUGAAACAAAAUCUGAAGUACAUGUACUUGGAAGAGCAAAACGAAUAAAAAAGUCAAACAUAGAUCAUUUUCUGCUUUUCAAUUGCAAUCUUCACUUGGAACAAUUAAAGAUUCAUUCGAACAUCCGUAAGUGACAUUUCAUGUAGAAGAAUUCAUCUUGGAGUCAGAUUUUACAUUGGAGGUCCUAUUACUUCAUAAGUUUUUAUACUGGAGUUAUUUAACUGUGGUGCAUUAAAACAUUUAUCUAAUCAAAAUUGUGGAAAGACUUACCGAAAAUCAAACUGCCAAAGUGGAGCAGAACCGUUUCUUUAAAAAAGAUAGGAAACAGGGUAUUUCUGUUAACAUUUUACAUUGGAAGAAAGAAUCACAUCAAGAUAUUUAUUAGUGAUAUUUCAUGUAGGAGAUGUUGUGUUAAAGAAUUCAAAUUGGAGUCAGAAUUCAUCUUCAUGAGUCAGAUUUUACAUUGAAAUCUUUAAAGGGAUAGUCUCUAAGAAGCUUGAGCCGUCCUUUACCUUGAUCUAUAAGCCAUCUUCACAAAGUUCUCUACUUAGCCCAGAUGAACUCAUCCCUUAUAGUAUGAUGCAUUGGAAGAAUUGCUUCAAAGACCCAAGGGUGAACUUGUGGUCAUUUA
This is an RNA transcript of Magallana angulata, 3705 nucleotides long. RefSeq lists it as uncharacterized. The record is from RefSeq and is a predicted model, not a curated record. The transcript has 2 exons. Lineage: Eukaryota; Metazoa; Mollusca; Bivalvia; Ostreida; Ostreidae.